CACCAAUCAAGCCCCGCUUGGUAUUAGGCGCCUGGCCGGCCCCCCGUGGCCGGCCCGCCCGAAAUGCAUCGGCGAGGCACCGACCCCCGGCGUGUUAGAAUUUCGAAACGUCAGGAGCACCGGUGUUAACCUCCGCCGUGAAACCUUUCAAACUAUUUUUCUAA
This 164-nucleotide unclassified non-coding RNA is filed under the name uncultured Elsinoaceae. RNAcentral describes it as "sequence contains ITS2". The record is from RNAcentral. Lineage: Eukaryota; Fungi; Ascomycota; Dothideomycetes; Myriangiales.